RNAcentral lists this long non-coding RNA (1326 nucleotides) under Homo sapiens (human). RNAcentral describes it as "non-protein coding lnc-MSMB-6:2". Lineage: Eukaryota; Metazoa; Chordata; Mammalia; Primates; Hominidae. The record is from RNAcentral.
CGCAAAUAUGCGGAUGUCUUUUGUCACCUACUCCACAGAUGGCGACACUGUCUUGCCACUCACCUCAGACAAGAAGAAAAUAAAAGAGGGUCUCGACAAACUUCAGAAAAUGGUGCCUGAAGGACACAUAUUCAUGCAGGCAGGGUUUAGAAAUGCAAUUCGGCAGAUGGAAAAUUUCAACUCCAGGAUGACAAGGUUUCCAGCAUGAUUAUUGCUAUGACUGAUGGAACAAUGAUGAAACAUCCAUCUUUGGACACUCUCAAAGAAAUAACAGCAAUGGCAGGCGGUCCGGACCAUGUGUUUGCAGUGGAGGAUGGCUUCAAGGCCCUGAGAAGCACUGUUGAUGCCUCAUGUCAAAGACCUGUCUUGAAGUGACGUCUGUGGAGCCUUCCUCUGAGUGUGUAGGAAAAUCCUACCAUGUGGUUAUUCAUGGAAAUGGCUUUCAGAAUCUAAAGAAACGGGAUGAAGUUAUUUGCAGAUUUAUCUUCAGUGAAAGCACUAUCAUUGAUGAACAUCCAAUCAGUAUGGACAAGACUUCCAAAACUUGCCCUGGACCAAAGAUAGAAAAACCUGGCAGGAGUACUUCAUUGAAGUCAGCUUGAACAACGGCAAAACAUUCAAGAGCAAUGUCAGCAUCACCAGCACCACAUGUGGCAUUUUUUGCAACUGGCUCUAUUUUGUGCCGCCCCUGCUGCUUGCGCCACUGCUGCUGUGUUGUGUUUGGUGGCUGUGCCGCAAGAAGAUCAUCUCCACCACCACAAACUCUGCCUCCACUGCCUCUGCCCCCGGCUCCUGUAAACACCUGCCCCACUGUGAUUGUUUGUUGCUGUAGGUGUCAAGGAGUGUUCUGGAUGAGAAGGAUAGAGGGCAAUCUGGAUAUCUUCCGUGACCUCUCUCACCCAAGCUGCUGCCAGGUGCCAUGGAUGUGGUGUCAGCACAGGGGCCAGGGAGAAGGUACCUCAGCUUAGCCCUUGCACAGUCCCAAUGCACACAGGGUCCCUGCUGCCCAAGGAUCUGCCUUCCACACAGCCAGGAGUGCCUUUCCCUACCACAGGCUCCCUGCAGCCCAAGGAUGUGCCUGAGACACAGCCGGGAGUACUUUUCCCAAGCACAGAUUCUGCAAUGCAAAGAGCUGCCUUCAACCCAGCUGAGAGUGCCUCCCCAUCACCUGCUCCCCCAGGUGCCACCUCCUCCCCACUAGGUGCCCGAGGCCUCCCUCCAGGAUGUUGCCACUGCUCCCUGCUCUUCUCAGGCACACUGCAGAACCCCCUUUGUCACUGCCUCCCCUAGAGCCCAACUUCUAAGGCACCAAACACCCAAGAUGAA